GUAGCCUAGUGGUUAGAGAAGGUAGCCUAGUGGUCAGAGCAGGAAGCCUAGUGGUUAGAGAAGGUAGCCUAGUGGUUAGAGCAGGUAGCCUAGUGGUUCGAGCCAGGUAGCCUAGUGGUUAGAGCAGGUAGCCUAGUGGUUAGUGGUUAGAGCAGGUAGCCUAGUGGUUAGAGCAGGUAGCCUAGUGGUUAGAGCAGGUAGCCUAGUGGUUAGAGCAGGUAGCCUAGUGGUUAGAGAAGGUAGCCUAGUGGUUAGAGAAGGUAGCCUAGUGAUUAGAGCAGGUAGCCUAGUGGUUAGAGAAGGUAGCCUAGUGGUUAGAGCAGGUAGCCUAGUGGUUAGAGAAGGUAGCCUAGUGGUUAGAGCAGGUAGCCUAGUGGUUAGAGAAGGUAGCCUAGUGGUUAGAGCAGGUAGCCUAGUGGUUAGAGAAGGUAGCCUAGUGGUUAGAGAAGGUAGCCUAGUGGUUAGAGCAGGUAGCCUAGUGGUUAGAGAAGGUAGCCUAGUGGUUAGAGCAGGUAGCCUAGUGAUUAGAGCAGGUAGCCUAAUGGUUAGAGAAGGUAGCCUAGUGGUUAGAGCAGGUAGCCUAGUGGUUAGAGCCAGGUAGCCUAGUGGUUAGAGCAGGUAGCCUAGUGGUUAGUGGUUAGAGCAGGUAGCCUAAUGGUUAGAGAAGGUAGCCUAGUGGUUAGAGCAGGUAGCCUAGUGGUUAGAGAAGGUAGCCUAGUGGUUAGAGCAGGUAGCCUAGUGGUUAGAGAAGGUAGCCUAGUGGUUAGAGAAGGUA
Molecule: long non-coding RNA, 775 nt
Organism: Oncorhynchus tshawytscha (Chinook salmon)
Lineage: Eukaryota; Metazoa; Chordata; Actinopteri; Salmoniformes; Salmonidae
Source: Ensembl